GAAAUUGAAUUAUUUUAUAAAGAUUUAAUAUGACUUAUAUUAUAAAUAUAUGUAUGAUUUUGGAUAAAAUAUAAAAGACAUGUUGUUGAUAUUACAUAAAUUGCUCGGGACAUGGUCACAUCUCACAUGCAUAAGAUUAUUCAACAAAAUAUAUGACAAAAAGUUAAUAACACGAACACACAAAUCUAAGCUCCCAAAAAGUUUUAAGAAAUAUUUUUUUAAAGAGAAACCUGCCAAACAACUACGAUGUCUAACAAUUCACAUUACUAACAUAACACACGAAAAUAAGUUAUUGUCCAACUUGUCCCACGCACCAAAUCUCCUACAAUCACAUGGCACAUAACUCAAAUCCACGAAACCUAACAACAAAACAUCUAAACACAUGCGAUGACAUACACAAUGUUCAACUUAAAUCCAACACACAUUACAAUCAACAACCCGCACGAAGCGCGGACAAACCA
Molecule: long non-coding RNA, 461 nt
Filed under: Brassica napus (rape)
Lineage: Eukaryota; Viridiplantae; Streptophyta; Magnoliopsida; Brassicales; Brassicaceae
Description: long non-coding RNA (BNAP_LNC015156)
Source: RNAcentral